GUCCCCGCACAAGCGGCGGAGCAUGCGGCUUAAUUCGAUGCAACCCGAAGAACCUUACCUGGGUUUGACAUCACGGGAAAAGCUGUAGAAAUACAGUGUCCAUUAGGGCCCGUGACAGGUGGUGCAUGGCUGUCGUCAGCUCGUGUCGUGAGAUGUUGGGUUAAGUCCCGCAACGAGCGCAACCCUUAUCCUAUGUUGCCAGCGGUUCGGCCGGGGACUCAUAGGAGACUGCCGGGGAUAACUCGGAGGAAGGUGAGGACGACGUCAAGUCAUCAUGCCCCUUAUAUCCAGGGCUGCACGCAUGCUACAAUGGCCAGUACAACGGGCAGCGAUCUCGCGAGAGUGAGCGAAUCCCUUAAAGCUGGCCCCAGUUCGGAUUGAAGUCUGCAACUCGACUUCAUGAAGCCGGAGUCGCUAGUAA
RNAcentral lists this ribosomal RNA (421 nucleotides) under uncultured bacterium. RNAcentral describes it as "bacterial SSU rRNA". It matches the Rfam family "Bacterial small subunit ribosomal RNA", at positions 920 to 1341 of the family's 1533-position model. The record is from RNAcentral.